GGUCAAUGGUGUAAUGGCAUGUAUUAGCUGAAUCCAAAGUUGAUGUGAGUUUCUAGAAUUACACUGAGACCUU
Small nucleolar RNA from Cercocebus atys (sooty mangabey), 73 nucleotides. NCBI's taxonomy places the organism in Eukaryota, Metazoa, Chordata, Mammalia, Primates, Cercopithecidae. The record is from Ensembl.